GGCGGACGGGUGAGUAACGCGUGAGCAAUUUGCCUUAGGGUGGGGGGAUAACAGCGGGAAACCGUUGCUAAUACCGCAUACGACAGCAGGAGGGCAUCCCCUUGCUGUGAAAGGAGCAAUCCGCCCUUAGAUGAGCUCGCGUCCCAUUAGGUAGUUGGUGAGGUAACGGCUCACCAAGCCGACGAUGGGUAGCCGGACUGAGAGGUUGGCCGGCCACACUGGAACUGAGACACGGUCCAGACUCCUACGGGAGGCAGCAGUGAAGAAUAUUGGGCAAUGGGGGAAACCCUGACCCAGCAACGCCGCGUGAGGGAAGAAGGUUUUCGGAUUGUAAACCUCUGUCCCAUGGGACGAAACAAAUGACGGUACCAUGGGAGGAAGCCCCGGCUAACUACGUGCCAGCAGCCGCGGUAAUACGUAGGGGGCAAGCGUUGUCCGGAAUUAUUGGGCGUAAAGGGUGCGUAGGCGGCCCUGCAAGUUGGAUGUGAAAUCCCCGUGCUUAACAUGGGAAUUGCAUGCAAAACUGUGGGGCUUGAGUGUGGAAGAGGUAAGUGGAAUUCCCAGUGUAGCGGUGAAAUGCGUAGAUAUUGGGAGGAACACCAGUGGCGAAGGCGACUUACUGGGCCACAACUGACGCUGAUGCACGAAAGCGUGGGGAGCGAACAGGAUUAGAUACCCUGGUAGUCCACGC
RNAcentral lists this ribosomal RNA (691 nucleotides) under uncultured bacterium. RNAcentral describes it as "bacterial SSU rRNA". It matches the Rfam family "Bacterial small subunit ribosomal RNA", at positions 97 to 800 of the family's 1533-position model. The record is from RNAcentral.